Non-coding RNA from Diatrype stigma, 71 nucleotides. NCBI's taxonomy places the organism in Eukaryota, Fungi, Ascomycota, Sordariomycetes, Xylariales, Diatrypaceae. The record is from the annotation of a GenBank genome assembly.
GCCCCCAUAGCUCAACGGUAGAGCUUUGCACUGUUAAUGCAACAAUAGGUGUUCGAUUCAUCUUGGGGGCG